This 430-nucleotide ribosomal RNA is filed under the name uncultured bacterium. RNAcentral's name for it is "bacterial SSU rRNA". It matches the Rfam family "Bacterial small subunit ribosomal RNA", at positions 355 to 776 of the family's 1533-position model. The record is from RNAcentral.
UGGGGAAUUUUGCGCAAUGGGCGAAAGCUUGACGCAGCAACGCCGCGUGAUUGAAGAAGGACUUAGGUUCGUAAAAAUCUGUCGUAAGGGAAGAAUAAUUAAUAUUCUAACACAAUAUUAAUCUGACGGUACCUUACAAGAAAGCUCCGGCUAACUUCGUGCCAGCAGCCGCGGUAAUACGAGGGGAGCAAGCGUUGUUCGGAUUUAUUGGGCGUAAAGGGCUCGUAGGCGGAUUGAUCAGUCAAAAUUUAAAUCCAAUGGCUUAACCAUUGACCUGGUUUUGAUACUAUCAAUCUUGAGUUAUAUAGAGGUAAGCGGAAUUCCUGGUGUAGCGGUGAAAUGCGUAGAUAUCAGGAGGAACACCAAAGGCGAAGGCAGCUUACUGGGUAUAAACUGACGCUGAGGAGCGAAAGCGUGGGUAGCAAACAGG